GACGAACGCUGGCGGCGUGCUUAACACAUGCAAGUCGAACGAGAGGACAAGAGAAGCUUGCUUCUUUUGGAAUCGAGUGGCAAACGGGUGAGUAACACGUAAACAACCUGCCUUCAGGAUGGGGACAACAGACGGAAACGACUGCUAAUACCGCAUAACAUAUAGAUGUCGCAUGGCAUUUAUAUCAAAGAUUUAUCGCUGAAAGAUGGCCUCGCGUCUGAUUAGCUGGUUGGUGAGGUAACGGCCCACCAAGGCGACGAUCAGUAGCCGGACUGAGAGGGUGACCGGCCACAUUGGGACUGAGACACGGCCCAAACUCCUACGGGAGGCAGCAGUGGGGAAUAUUGCACAAUGGGGGGAAACCCUGAUGCAGCGACGCCGCGUGGAGGAAGAAGGUCUUCGGAUUGUAAACUCCUGUUGUUGAGGAAGAUAAUGACGGUACUCAACAAGGAAGUGACGGCUAACUACGUGCCAGCAGCCGCGGU
This 485-nucleotide ribosomal RNA is filed under the name uncultured bacterium. RNAcentral's name for it is "bacterial SSU rRNA". It matches the Rfam family "Bacterial small subunit ribosomal RNA", at positions 28 to 521 of the family's 1533-position model. The record is from RNAcentral.